Molecule: unclassified non-coding RNA, 113 nt
Organism: Otolemur garnettii (small-eared galago)
Lineage: Eukaryota; Metazoa; Chordata; Mammalia; Primates; Galagidae
Rfam family: Y RNA
About the family: Y RNAs are components of the Ro ribonucleoprotein particle (Ro RNP), in association with Ro60 and La proteins. The Y RNAs and Ro60 and La proteins are well conserved, but the function of the Ro RNP is not known.
Source: Ensembl
GGCUGGUCCAAAGGUAGUGAGUGAUCUCACUUGACUGUUCACGGUCAGUUACAGAUUGAACUCCUUGUUCUACUCUUGCCGCUUGUCUCACUACUGCACUUGACUGGUCUUUA